AACGAACGCUGGCGGCAUGCCUAACACAUGCAAGUCGAACGAGACCUUCGGGUCUAGUGGCGCACGGGUGCGUAACGCGUGGGAACCUGCCCUUAGGUUCGGAAUAACUCCCCGAAAGGGGUGCUAAUACCGGAUAAUGUCUUCGGACCAAAGAUUUAUCGCCUUUGGAUGGGCCCGCGUUGGAUUAGCUAGUUGGUAGGGUAAAAGCCUACCAAGGCGACGAUCCAUAGCUUGUCUGAGAGGAUGAUCAGCCACACUGGGACGGAGACACGGCCCAGACUCCUACGGGAGGCAGCAGUGGGGAAUAUUGGACAAUGGGCGAAAGCCUGAUCCAGCACUGCCGCGUGAGUGAUGAAGGCCUUAGGGUUGUAAAGCUCUUUUACCCGGGAUGAUAAUGACAGUACCGGGAGAAUAAGCUCCGGCUAACUCCGUG
This 433-nucleotide ribosomal RNA is filed under the name uncultured bacterium. Its description in RNAcentral is "partial 16S ribosomal RNA". It matches the Rfam family "Bacterial small subunit ribosomal RNA", at positions 29 to 507 of the family's 1533-position model. The record is from RNAcentral.